RNAcentral lists this ribosomal RNA (1280 nucleotides) under Pediococcus acidilactici. RNAcentral's name for it is "bacterial SSU rRNA". It matches the Rfam family "Bacterial small subunit ribosomal RNA", at positions 52 to 1287 of the family's 1533-position model. The record is from RNAcentral. Lineage: Bacteria; Bacillati; Bacillota; Bacilli; Lactobacillales; Lactobacillaceae.
UACAUGCAAGUCGAACGAACUUCCGUUAAUUGAUUAUGACGUGCUUGCACUGAAUGAGAUUUUAACACGAAGUGAGUGGCGGACGGGUGAGUAACACGUGGGUAACCUGCCCAGAAGCAGGGGAUAACACCUGGAAACAGAUGCUAAUACCGUAUAACAGAGAAAACCGCCUGGUUUUCUUUUAAAAGAUGGCUCUGCUAUCACUUCUGGAUGGACCCGCGGCGCAUUAGCUAGUUGGUGAGGUAACGGCUCACCAAGGCGAUGAUGCGUAGCCGACCUGAGAGGGUAAUCGGCCACAUUGGGACUGAGACACGGCCCAGACUCCUACGGGAGGCAGCAGUAGGGAAUCUUCCACAAUGGACGCAAGUCUGAUGGAGCAACGCCGCGUGAGUGAAGAAGGGUUUCGGCUCGUAAAGCUCUGUUGUUAAAGAAGAACGUGGGUGAGAGUAACUGUUCACCCAGUGACGGUAUUUAACCAGAAAGCCACGGCUAACUACGUGCCAGCAGCCGCGGUAAUACGUAGGUGGCAAGCGUUAUCCGGAUUUAUUGGGCGUAAAGCGAGCGCAGGCGGUCUUUUAAGUCUAAUGUGAAAGCCUUCGGCUCAACCGAAGAAGUGCAUUGGAAACUGGGAGACUUGAGUGCAGAAGAGGACAGUGGAACUCCAUGUGUAGCGGUGAAAUGCGUAGAUAUAUGGAAGAACACCAGUGGCGAAGGCGGCUGUCUGGUCUGUAACUGACGCUGAGGCUCGAAAGCAUGGGUAGCGAACAGGAUUAGAUACCCUGGUAGUCCAUGCCGUAAACGAUGAUUACUAAGUGUUGGAGGGUUUCCGCCCUUCAGUGCUGCAGCUAACGCAUUAAGUAAUCCGCCUGGGGAGUACGACCGCAAGGUUGAAACUCAAAAGAAUUGACGGGGGCCCGCACAAGCGGUGGAGCAUGUGGUUUAAUUCGAAGCUACGCGAAGAACCUUACCAGGUCUUGACAUCUUCUGCCAACCUAAGAGAUUAGGCGUUCCCUUCGGGGACAGAAUGACAGGUGGUGCAUGGUUGUCGUCAGCUCGUGUCGUGAGAUGUUGGGUUAAGUCCCGCAACGAGCGCAACCCUUAUUACUAGUUGCCAGCAUUCAGUUGGGCACUCUAGUGAGACUGCCGGUGACAAACCGGAGGAAGGUGGGGACGACGUCAAAUCAUCAUGCCCCUUAUGACCUGGGCUACACACGUGCCUACAAUGGAUGGUACAACGAGUCGCGAAACCGCGAGGUUUAGCUAAUCUCUUAAAACCAUUC